Pteropus alecto (black flying fox) is the source of this 340-nucleotide long non-coding RNA. RefSeq lists it as uncharacterized. NCBI's taxonomy places the organism in Eukaryota, Metazoa, Chordata, Mammalia, Chiroptera, Pteropodidae. The transcript has 3 exons. The record is from RefSeq and is a predicted model, not a curated record.
ACUUUUUGAAGAGAGAAUGAGGAAAGGACACAUUCAUUCACAAUACUGAUCUCCCUGCAGCCCAGGAGCAUGCUUUAUCAUUUUUGUAUGUGACAUAGAACAAUGUUUGGUGUAAUCUAAGUGUUCAGUAUAAUCAAGGAUUCGUAUAUUCAAAAGCCACUUGAUUAUAACCUGAAAUGAAUUCUUGACACAGUGGAGAUGCUGAAUAAAAAUAAUUGCCUCAUUGGUGGUCAUGGUCCCAAUGGUGUGUGUGGAGAAUGGUGAGAGUUCACACAGGAUAAGUCUAACGGAGAACCAGCACAUUCAUGGACCUGGACGAGCAUCACUCCAGCUAGGCCAC